CAAAAUAUUCUUAGUUCUUAGUCCUAGAAAUAAAUUUGAACAGUGGUUUGGAUAACAUAGGAAUCUUUAACAUUGUACUCAAAUCGUUCGGUAGUCUAAUAUUAUUAUGGUCACAGAUAUACAUCACUUCAGCCGAUAAUAAUAAGCGUUCAACUAUGAAAUGAUUGUUUAAUGUCUGAUGAAUUAAGCUUUCUACAGCAUUUCAGCCUUGUCGGAAACCAAACUGCUGUUCAGGUGGAGAGAUUGGUGCAUAUUUAUCAAGAAAUGAAGGAAUCCAUUCAUAAUUUUUUGGGGCUUUUCUGUGUGUUGCGCGUUUGAAUUUACGGAUAUAGUUCUAAAUAAUGCUCACAGAUAAAAAUUUUAUCCAAUUAGCAAGAUUUUACAUGAAGCGCUCAGAAGGAAAACCUAUCAUAUAUUUUUCUAUGGAAGUCUGAAUAUUAAUUAUUGUUGGAUAAUAAUAACUGCC
Molecule: long non-coding RNA, 466 nt
Organism: Papilio machaon (common yellow swallowtail)
Lineage: Eukaryota; Metazoa; Arthropoda; Insecta; Lepidoptera; Papilionidae
Exons: 3
Source: RefSeq, a predicted model, not a curated record